This 617-nucleotide long non-coding RNA is filed under the name Homo sapiens (human). Its description in RNAcentral is "HSALNT0315318". The record is from RNAcentral. Lineage: Eukaryota; Metazoa; Chordata; Mammalia; Primates; Hominidae.
CCGCUAGGCGAGCGCAAGUAAUCCACCCGCCUUGGCCUCCCAAAGUGCUGGGAUUACAGGUGUGAGCCACCAUGCCCAGCCAGAAACUGCCACUUUUAAACCAUCAGAUCUCAUUGAGAACUCCCUCACUAUCACGAGAACCGCAUGAGGGAAACCACCCCCAUGAUCUGAUCACCUCCCACCAGGUCCUGCCCUCAACAUGUGGGGAUUACAAUUCAAGAUGAGAUUUGGGUCAGGAAACAGAGCCAAACCAUAUCAAGAGCCUCUGGUAACCACUGUUCUACUCAAUACUUCUAUGAGGUGAACUUCUUUGGAUUCCACAUAUGAUCAAGAUCAUGAGGAAGGAGGAGCAAGUCUUCUUUGUCAUGCUAUUAAGAAAAUACCCAGAGUCACAGCACCAUGAUCUCCUUGUGAAGCAGAACAAGUAAUAUAAAACUGAUCUAAAGAGGCCUCCCCUCUACUCUUAUCUGUCUGGUCGAGUCAUUUGGGUCCAAGUGGGCACCAUUGUGGGAGGGUGGGAGGACUCAUCACUGGGGGCCCAGGCAUCAUUGGCAUGUGGCCUCCUGUGUUAGUUUGUUCUCAUGCUGCAAAUAAAGACAACUUGAGACUGGAUAAUU